Molecule: long non-coding RNA, 988 nt
Filed under: Volvox carteri
Lineage: Eukaryota; Viridiplantae; Chlorophyta; Chlorophyceae; Chlamydomonadales; Volvocaceae
Description: long non-coding RNA (VCAR_LNC000739)
Source: RNAcentral
CACCAGCUUAACGCGGAGCAGCUGGAGGCUUUGUGCUGUGCGUCUGCUGUGAGUGGCAAGUGCCUGACUAGGUGCGUCUUGCUGGAGGGGGUUGGAGCCCGGAGCAGAGAUAAGUGUGUGUAAGAGCGUCGAGGAGUUGCGAAGAGUGUCGAGGAGUUUGAAGGGAAAAGGGGGGAAGUACGCAACACACGGCGGGCGUGAUACGCUCCUCAAACGAUUGGAAGGGGAGAGGAAAGGGUGUGCGCGUAUAGCUUGUGCGCGUAUAGCUUGUGUGUAUAUGAAAUCCUUUUUUUCAGGAUUUGAAAUUGCACCCAAGGUUGUCAAGAUUGUCUGAACUUUAUCCAUAUGUUAUAAAUACGUUUUAUAUAUCAAGACGCAACUCGUAUGAUAAUUUCGGAUCAUGUUUGUGCGGGUUUCGAACUCCCUGUCGUGCGGUGCUUAAUCGUCACCCUGCUAGGGAGCGCGCCGAUGCCGUACAGCAGCGCCUGCUCAAGAUUCUCACCAGCCCGUCACCUUCCAACGACAGCGGCAACGGUCAUAACGGUAUCCAAAACGGCAACGACAGUUACCCUGCACGGCGUCGCGCGGGCGCUGCGGGCGGCUUCCAAGUGCUGACCCCGGCGCUCAACACCAUCUUUGCGCUGUACGACCACGGGUAUUUGCCCCAGGUGGCUCUACUUCAGGUAGAGGGGAUGGGGGUUGGGGUGGGCCCGGGAGGGAAGAAGGAAGGGUACGGGAGAGGUAAGCCGAGCGGCACCACCAGCACCAGCACCACCAUCAUCAUCAUUAUCACCAGCACCAGCACCAGCACCAUCAUCAGCGUCAUCAUCACCAAAUCUCCACACCCCACAGCCAAACGCGAUAAAACAAAAACCGCCCGGUCCCACCCUCCCACCCUUCAGGCUGUAUUCCGCCAGGCCGUCAACCAUUGCGGUGAGGUCACUCGUAGUCAGUGGCACGGACUGCACGGACUCGCCAGGAGGUUCAG